CUAGUAGUAUGGAAUAGCCAUUAGAAAUGAUGGGUAAUACUGUAUAAUCCCUGAGGGGGAAAGAUUUAUCGCUAUUAGAUGAGCCUACGUUAGAUUAGCUAGUUGGUGAGGUAAUGGCUUACCAAGGCUAUGAUCUAUAGCUGGUCUGAGAGGACGAUCAGCCACACUGGAACUGAGAUACGGUCCAGACUCCUACGGGAGGCAGCAGUGGGGAAUAUUGGACAAUGGGCGAAAGCCUGAUCCAGCUAUGCCGCGUGAGUGAAGAAGGCCUUCGGGUUGUAAAGCUCUUUUAAUAGGGAAGAUAAUGACGGUACCUAUAGAAGAAGUCCCGGCAAACUCCGUGCCAGCAGCCGCGGUAAUACGGAGGGGGCAAGCGUUGUUCGGAAUUAUUGGGCGUAAAGGGCACGUAGGUGGACUAGUAAGUUAAAAGUGAAAUACCAAAGC
Molecule: ribosomal RNA, 444 nt
Filed under: uncultured Ehrlichia sp.
Lineage: Bacteria; Pseudomonadati; Pseudomonadota; Alphaproteobacteria; Rickettsiales; Anaplasmataceae
Description: bacterial SSU rRNA
Rfam family: Bacterial small subunit ribosomal RNA
Source: RNAcentral